UGGGGAAUAUUGCACAAUGGGCGCAAGCCUGAUGCAGCCAUGCCGCGUGUAUGAAGAAGGCCUUCGGGUUGUAAAGUACUUUCAGUCGGGAGGAAGGGAGUAAAGUUAAUACCUUUGCUCAUUGACGUUACCCGCAGAAGAAGCACCGGCUAACUCCGUGCCAGCAGCCGCGGUAAUACGGAGGGUGCAAGCGUUAAUCGGAAUUACUGGGCGUAAAGCGCACGCAGGCGGUUUGUUAAGUCGGAUGUGAAAUCCCCGGGCUCAACCUGGGAACUGCAUCUGAUACUGGCAAGCUUGAGUCUCGUAGAGGGGGGUAGAAUUCCAGGUGUAGCGGUGAAAUGCGUAGAGAUCUGGAGGAAUACCGGUGGCGAAGGCGGCCCCCUGGACGAAGACUGACGCUCAGGUGCGAAAGCGUGGGGAGCAAACAGG
Molecule: ribosomal RNA, 429 nt
Filed under: Chloroflexota bacterium
Lineage: Bacteria; Bacillati; Chloroflexota
Description: Chloroflexi bacterium partial 16S ribosomal RNA
Rfam family: Bacterial small subunit ribosomal RNA
Source: RNAcentral